CCUACGGGUGGCAGCAGUGAGGGAUAUUGGUCAAUGGCGGAAACCCUGAACCAGCAACGCCGCGUGAGGGUAGACGGUUUUCGGAUGUUAAACCUCUUUCCUCUGUGAGCAUAAUUACUUUAGCAUAGGAAGAAGCUCCUGCUAACUGGGUACCAGCAGCCGCGGUAAUACGUAGGGGUCACGCGUUUUCCGGAUUUACUGGGUGUAAAGGGUGAUUAGGCGGUCCUGAAAGUCAUAAGUUAAGUCCAUGGUCUUAACGCGUGAACUGCGUUUGAAACUGUAGGGCUUGAGUGAAGUAGAGGCAGGAGGAAUUGCCGGUGUAGCGGUGAAAUGCGUAGAGAUCGGGAGGAACACCAGUGGCGAAGGCGGCCUGCUGGGCUUUAACUGACGCUGAAGCACGAAAGCGUGGGUAGCAAACAGGAUUAGAUACCCCAGUAGUC
RNAcentral lists this ribosomal RNA (440 nucleotides) under uncultured bacterium. Its description in RNAcentral is "partial 16S ribosomal RNA". It matches the Rfam family "Bacterial small subunit ribosomal RNA", at positions 338 to 795 of the family's 1533-position model. The record is from RNAcentral.